Molecule: long non-coding RNA, 1603 nt
Organism: Triticum dicoccoides
Lineage: Eukaryota; Viridiplantae; Streptophyta; Magnoliopsida; Poales; Poaceae
Exons: 2
Source: RefSeq, a predicted model, not a curated record
CGAGCAUACCACCAACAAAGCCGCCGCGUUCUCCUCUGCGACACGCAACCUUUUCCCCUCCCCCCUAUAGACUAGACCAGAUCCUUGAUAUAGAGAAGAACACGCCUCUUCCUCCCAACCACAACUACCUCCAUCUCGGCAAGGUGAGCCCGUGACUCUCUGUCUACCAUGAUUUUUUCCUCCUCGAAACCCCCGUGCGCUCUCUGGUUCGCAGGUUCCUCGUCGAUCGGCGGGCUGGGCUUGCGGCGAUCUUGGAGCGAGACGCGAGGCGGCUGCAUCUUCCGAUCUGCCCGUCCGGCGACUCAGAUCUGUUACCUAUCUGAUGGCCCGCGGCGGAUCUGGGGGUUCCCGGCGGUCUAGAGUUGACUCUGCGGCGAUGAAGGCUUCUUCUCCGACGUGCACGUGUGGAUCCCGGCUUCCCCGCUUCGCGCGACGACGGCUCUUGUAUUGAUAAUUAUCCGAUGAUAUCUCGAUAAUUAUUAGAUCUAAGAGAUCAGAGGUAAGAGCAUGUAACAAGCGAGGUGAUCGUGCCGAGAGGGGAAAAGGAGUGAAAAAAGAGAGAUGUGACACCUAGAGGCCUUUGCCAUGUUGGGUGCGCUCGCAUGGCAGGCCGCCACCGUAAUAAAGAUGGUUCUUGUGUCCCGGGGGGAGAUCGCACGGGGGUUAUUCUGUUUUAGCCCCGGGGUCUCCCCCCACCGUGUCCUGGUGUGCUCCUUUGUCUGCACCUCUCGUCCGAUCCGAUCUUCCUGGCACAACGUUCUACCGUCGCGAAUCGAUCAAGGUGCUACAAACCAAAGGUACAAUCGAUAAUCUACAGCUGAAGCAUACAUAAACUUGAGACGAAUUUCCGCUCUCGUAAAUUGUAUUCUGUUCUGAGUUUGUUUACACAGGAAUUUGUAAUCACUCGAACCCAUUUAAGUUAUAGUGAAAUCGUUUGUCUGAUUCGCAGUUGAAUCUACUAUCACAUCACAGCUCAAAUUUGAACUUCAUUAACAAUCGGCAGUCUAAACAAAGACCAAAUCGUUUAGGUACCAGAUUCAAUAUAUUUUGAUAUUUUUUCCCAGAAUAUGCUAUUUAUAUCAAAGGUUGUUAUUUUAUCUAAAUUUGUGUUUGUAUAUUUGUCUGCUCUAUUGAGAUGUACAGUGAUCAGAAUUUGAUCUUGGUUUUCUAUUUCAACUUGUAACUCUUACCUAAUGUAGCCUGAAUAGCUGUAUGAUGGGAUUGUAUAGUCCUGAAAUUAAAUCUACAGCUAUCUUCCCUGGAUGUGGACAUCAUAUUUGUUCUAUCGACAUUGGCUGAACCAGUAUGAAGAAGCACCUGCUUUGGUUUUGGAAUACGUGCUCAGCAGAAGAAUCUAAAUGUGGACCUCAAUUCCGGUCAUCGUAGGCUCAGCAGACUUCAAGAAACUGGUUAAGAUGUACUCUUAUGUAAAUUCUGUGCUAUUUGAUUCUUCUGCAUUUAGCCUGUGGUUAGUUUUAGUUCAAAUACUACAUUCCUUAUAUCCCACACAUAAUUUCAUAUUGAACAAGUCUAUUUUCAAUCUUCUUUACUUAUUUUUUCCCAUUGUAGUUUUAAUAUAUCUGUCAGCAAUGAGUUUUAGUUG